This 483-nucleotide ribosomal RNA is filed under the name uncultured bacterium. RNAcentral's name for it is "partial 16S ribosomal RNA". It matches the Rfam family "Bacterial small subunit ribosomal RNA", at positions 30 to 507 of the family's 1533-position model. The record is from RNAcentral.
AUUGAACGCUGGCGGCAGGCCUAACACAUGCAAGUCGAGCGGAUGAAGGGAGCUUGCUCCUGGAUUCAGCGGCGGACGGGUGAGUAAUGCCUAGGAAUCUGCCUGGUAGUGGGGGAUAACGUCCGGAAACGGGCGCUAAUACCGCAUACGUCCUGAGGGAGAAAGUGGGUAUCUUCGGACCUCACGCUAUCAGAUGAGCCUAGGUCGGAUUAGCUAGUUGGUGGGGUAAAGGCCUACCAAGGCGACGAUCCGUAACUGGUCUGAGAGGAUGAUCAGUCACACUGGAACUGAGACACGGUCCAGACUCCUACGGGAGGCAGCAGUGGGGAAUAUUGGACAAUGGGCGAAAGCCUGAUCCAGCCAUGCCGCGUGUGUGAAGAAGGUCUUCGGAUUGUAAAGCACUUUAAGUUGGGAGGAAGGGCAGUAAGUUAAUACCUUGCUGUUUUGACGUUACCAACAGAAUAAGCACCGGCUAACUUCGUG